UCUGCCUGAGUGUAGAGCAAAAAGGGCGCUUUUCCACCACUAUCUAUGCACAGGCUAGAGUGGGAUGGCUCAAUUUGAUUAUCCAGUUUGUAGUUGUAUGCUACCCCCACCCACCCACACACACUCAGACUCUCAUACCCAUACAUGCCUGCAUUUACACAUACAUGAGAAUCAGAACUACUUUUCCUACAUUUUUACCUCUUUAGGCAUAAAUUUUAAGCAGUAGUGCACUGAAUACUGCUCCUACUAGUGCAUAAUUACUAUAGUUUCACAAAUUUUUAAAGGUGUUUUGCAUCACGUUGAUAGGUUGAAAUUGGUCAUGGUAGGAUUAUUUACAGAUGGCUAAUCAACAAAUGGUACAAUUCACAGCUUGUCCUCCAGGUAGGCAGUUAAGCUUUUACCAGCACAUCAUUAGACUCUAAGCAUCAGGAAGGGUCUCUCCUUCUUUCCUUUAGCACUUGUAAUACUUAUCAUGACAUCAAGCAGCACACAAAAAAGCAGUAUUUAGGGAGUAUUUAGAGAGUGACCACUAUUUAGGUUAUAUUAAGUAACUUAAAUUAAGUAACCCAUAUUAAGGUAGUGUUUAGGGAGUAACCACUAUUUAGCAGUAGUUAGGGAUUGGUUGCUCCCUAAAUACUUCUUAAAUAAUGCUUUCUUUGUGCUGCUUGAUGCCAUGAGUUUAGCCUAGAUAGAUAAAUAAAUUUGUGGAAAGGAAAGACACUUUCUGCUUUGCACUGAGGCACCAGUUUCUUCAAGAGUUCCCAAGAGAAGUAUCCUUUGCUGAUGCUCCCAUGUGGUUUUGUGUAGAACAAUGAUCCAUAGCCAGGAUGGCCACAGACAUCACACUGGCUGUUCUGAGAAGAAUGAAUGACAAGAGACAAAGAAUGAAAGGAAGGCAAAGAUUCUGGGAAGAUGAUGUUAGGACUCAGAAAACAACACCCCAAAAUAAAAGCCUCAGAAGCAAUAGUUUUUCUCUGAUCUUUUCCUGCACUCCUGUCUCUCGGUUCAA
This is a long non-coding RNA of Pan troglodytes (chimpanzee), 1009 nucleotides long. RefSeq lists it as uncharacterized. NCBI's taxonomy places the organism in Eukaryota, Metazoa, Chordata, Mammalia, Primates, Hominidae. The record is from RefSeq and is a predicted model, not a curated record. The transcript is spliced from 3 exons.